This 7288-nucleotide long non-coding RNA is filed under the name Gossypium barbadense (sea-island cotton). Its description in RNAcentral is "long non-coding RNA (GBAR_LNC008171)". The record is from RNAcentral. Lineage: Eukaryota; Viridiplantae; Streptophyta; Magnoliopsida; Malvales; Malvaceae.
ACCCCCUUUUAUUCAUUCAGCAGAAAUAAAGAGAGCAGCACCUUCUCCUCAACUUCUUUUCUCUGCUAGGUUUUCUACCUUCGCCCUUUUGAACUGUCACCAAACCAUCGUGAACCCGCCGUGGCUUCCAUCGUAAACGGUGGUUCAAAGCCUCAUGGAACCGGGUUUUUGGCACUUAUAAAGGGAGAUUCAAUGGUGAGGCCUCUCUAUACCGAAGAAAACAAAGGAGAAAGAACCCCCCACCUUCUCCUUGCAUCGAUUCUGACGACAGAAAAGAAAACUCCGGCGACGCAACCCCGGGGUGGAUCCAGUAAGACUCUCUUCUCCUCUCUUUUUUUUUUAAUUUUUUAUGCCCACUUUCGUUUAAUAGAUUUGUAAACAAAAAUAAAAAAGAAAUAAAAAAGAAACUAAAGAACAAAAUGAAAACCAAGAGAAUACGAUCGGAAAUCCACCUUUUCUUUGUGUUUUUUUCUUUUUUUUUUUUCUGAAAUCCUGCGUACAAGAAUGAGGAUCCCCCUUUUACGAUUUCUUUCGGCUUCUAUUUUUAGCCGAAAAAAAUGAGAUAGAAUCCAAAAUCCCCCCUUCCCCUCUUCCUGAUUUUCGGAUGGCUUUCUUAUAGCCAUCCCUUUUUUACAAAUUUUAUUAUUAUUUGUUGCUGUCUUUUCCCCUUUUUCUAUUUUGCACGUGCAAGUGGAGCAGGUGGAGGUGUGGGUGGUGACAAACUUUGGUGGCUAGUUUUUUUUAGUUUUUUUUUUGUGUGUUUGGGUUGGGCUAUUGUAUUGGGAUUAGGUUGGGUCAAAAUUGGGUUUGGGCUUGUAACUGGGUAAUGGGCUAGGUUUAAUUUGGGUUUGGUUUUAUUGGGCUCCGGGUAAAAUUUGGGCCUUACAAUGGUAAUUUUGCAUACAUAGGGGUAUUCAAGUAAUUUAACUAUUCUUACGGUUUUCAUACAUAACAUAGCCAUUUACGUACGAUCAGAAACACUUACUGCAUUUUCUUACCAAUUUUGGCCCGUUGGCCCAUUAUCCCAUUUUUGGCCCAUUAAGCCCAAAAAUAUCGAAAUGCACAGAAUCGCACACUCUGCAGUCUUAUCACUUUAAUUUACCAUAUACAUCAAACUAUUAAUCUUAUGAGCAUUCACACACUCGCAAGAUCUCAAAAUACCGGCUUUUCGGCAUUUCGGCAUUUCGGCUUGUGCCGAUCUAGUCUAUAAGAGGGUGUUAGUUACACACCUGUUUGCGACGAUAUGCUGGCGAGAUCCACACACGAACCGCCUACAAUUGGAUUACUAACACGUUAAUCUAACUAUUCAAAUACAAACUACGUAUUAACCCCUUAUAAUAUUCGGCCAACCACACCUACAGAUCAUAGUAAGCUUAUAAGAAAACAAUAAGCAACUCAUUAACAAAUUUUUGUCAAUGUUUACCACAUAAUCAUAAUUUCACUGCAAGCUGUCUUCCUGAGCAACAGUCACUAAAUUAUUUAUAACUGGAGCUACGGAACUCCAAAUCAAGUGCCGUUAAUUUUACCUGAAAAUAGACUCAUAUAUCUUCUAUCCAUAAAAUUUUCAGAAUUUUUGGUAUGGCCAAUCAAUACCAGAUUUUUCUUAAAGUUUCCCAUGUUUCACUGUUUGGCUAAUCUGACCACUCUUCAUUACGAAUCAAAUUUCUCAUUGUACAGAAUUCAAAAUAUGUUCUCGUUUAUUUCAUUUGAAACUAGACUCAUUAAGCUUUAAUUACAUAAUUUGUUCACCUUCUAACUCAUCUCUCACAAUUUAUGGUGAUUUUCCAAAAUCACAUUACUGCUGCUGUCCCAAGCAGAUUUAUUACCAAAUCACUCUUUCAUACAUAACUUGCAUGCAUGUUAUUUAAACAUGUAUAUCACCAAUCAAUCAUAACAUAUCUAUGAGUUUACUUAAGUAUAGUCUCCAUUUCAUCAUUUUAAAGCACAACAUGUUAGCUGAUUUUUCCCCUUAGCAUCUAAGGCACAUGCAUGCUCAUUUGUUUGGCUCAACUUCACCUAUCUUCCAUUUUUCAUCAAAAGAACAUGAAACAACAACCAUUUCCUUCAUUUUAAUUCAUGACCAAAUGCUCACAACACAACCAAAAACCAAAAUAUGCUUCAAGAGUUAAGGUAGAAUUAAGAAGAACUCAUGAACAUCAAGAUAGAGGCAAACUACCAUGAACUUACCUUCAAUUUUCUUCCCCAAGUGACCAAACAUUCAAGAGCUUUCUCCUCUCCUUUCUCUUCUCUAACUUUCAGCUAUGAUGAACAAAGAUGGACAAAACUUUGUUCUUUUCACCCCUUUUUCUUUUAAUAAAAUUUCAUAUUUCAUCCAUUUAAUUCUUUAAUACAAAAGACAUGAAAUGUCCAUCAUGGAACAUUUAACUAAACCAUUAUCAUGGAACAUUUACCUAACCCAUUAUCAUGGAAUAUUUACCUAAUCCAUUAUCAUGGAACAUUUACCUAACCCAUUAUCAAUUUGUACCAUGAAUUAUGGAUAUCAAGUGCUCAUAUUGUCUACAACAACAUGAUAGUUGGCCACUUCAUGUAAAAUGGGAGGUUUGUCAUGCAAAUCCUCCUAUUUUGCACUCCUAUUUAUUUGGCUACUUCAAUUUAGCCUAUAGCAUUUUCAAACAUUUUCACAUAGGUUCUAUUUCAUAAUUUCACCCCCUUUUUCUUAUGGAACAAAAAUUAACUAAAAUUACCGGGUUCUAUCUUAAGCUUGGGCCUUCUAGAGGCCCACUAACAUAAUUAAACCUAUGCCAACAUUCACAGAAUUCCCGAAAAUUGGGGCGUUACACCCAUUAUCUCUUUCACUAGAUGUAAGAUAAAAACAAAAUCAAAAGAUGUAAUCUUCUUAUAUGUUAUAGCUGCACCUCCGCGGAUAGAAUAAUUAGAGCCACUUUUAAUAAUAUUUUCUAGAACAGAACAAGUAGUAUCAAACAUCCUUUUCAAGCUACAAAUAGAACUAAAAUGAGAACUCUAAUGAGUUUCUCCAACUCGUUUCAUAGUGCCAACUUGGUUAAGUCCUUUACCAGUUUCAAGUUCAUCAAUUGCCAACAUAUUUGCAAUUUCAAUUGCUUGGGCAACUUGUAAUUGAUCAUGGCAUUUGCAAGCGGCACUAAUUAUAAACAAUAAAGUUCAAAUUAGAGAAAAAAAUUAUGAAUAAGAAUUACCUCUCGAGAAGCAACAAGUAAUGCCAACUAGAGUUGAUGCGCCAAGCAAUAAACAUAAUAUGCAUAGGCACAAUCAUUUAAAAACAAUGCUUGCAAACCGUUCCAUACACCCCGUAUGUUGUUAGCACCAUUAUAUCCUUGACCUCGAAUAUUUUAAACAUCAAGACAAUGCCGAGAAAGAAUAACACAUAUUUCCUCUUUCAAAGUUAUUGUUGUACUAUCUUGCACAUGUACAAGAUCAAAGAAAUUAUAUUUUAUAAAUCUUUCCUGAUCAACAUAUCUCAAAGCAAUAGUUAUUUUCUCCCUUUUAGAUUCAUCAAGUGCCUCAUCAAUAAUGAUACAAAAUUUAGAAUCUCUAAUGUCUUCACGAAUCUUAUGACGCACUUUAUUUGCAAUAAUAUGUAAAAUCUCCUUUUGGUUCAUAUGAGAAGUAUAUUUAGCAUUUCUUGGAGUAUUUUCCAAAAUAACUUUGGAAAAUUUAUCAUUAUAGGAAGCUAACAAUGUAACCAAUUCAAGAAAAUUACCUUGAUUUCUUGAAUUAAAGGUUUCAUCAUGACCCCUUAAAGCAUAUUCUUGCUAAGUUAACCAUCAAACAACAUCAAUUAAAGUCUUGACUCGUAAGUAGCUACCUUCUUUUUUAUCUAAACUUUGUGCAUUAAUAACCUUUCCAAUGUGCUGAGAUUAAUUUAACAAAUCUUGACAACUUUUCUCAGUGUUAUUAUGUGGAGAGCGUGGAUCUUGGCCAACAUUAAGCACAUCUAUUUCCAUCAUUAACUCUUUUUCCAAUUAUUAAAACCUUUUAACAGUGAAUGCAUCCAUUCCAUGAAGAACAAUAUGUUUUGAGAAAAUAUAGCAUGAGAAAAAAUAUGUUGCAUCUUUAGUAGGGAUAUUCCAACCGAAGAAAUUUGCAAAACCAAAAAGACUGAAAUCUUCGGGGAUACUUGUCACUAGAAAGUGGGUACUCAGACAAAUGUAUUUGAUAUGACCCCAUUUUUAAAUAUGCUCGAUUGACUUCAUCUCAUUAAUUAACAAGAUAUUCACAUAUUUAAGGACAUAAUCCUAAAUUCCUCUCUAGAUUAUUAAUAUCAAAAGAAAGAUUUGGAUGAUCUUCACUUUCAAAUCUUGAGCAUUUAGAAGUAUUAACUUCGAUAGUUGGAGAAUCUUCAUUGUUCACUGGUUGACUCGCAUCACAAUUAUCACUACUUUUCCUCUUAAAAGAAGUAUCAAUCGUCUUUACCUUAUUCAUUUUUUGCAAUCGUCCUAAAAUUUAAUUUUAUAAAAUUAUAAAAAAGUAAAAUGAUUAUAGCAUCCAUUUCCAUUUUCAUAUCAUUCUCAUUUCAUAUUCAAAUCAUAAAUUGCAUAAUAUAAAAUUUUUAUUUUUAAUCAAACAAACUCAUAAUUGUGCUUGUUCAACCACUUGAAAUCAUAAUAUUCAAAUUCAACUUAAAAUUAAAAAUUUACUAAUUUUAUAAUUGAAAUCAUAGAUUUCAAUUCGAAACAUUAUCUUUUAAAUACUAAUUAAACCAUUCAAAAUUCAUAAAAAUAAAAAUAAUAUAGCUAGAUAUAGUAAAUCAACACUAAUGACAAAUUUGAAUAUACAUGGUUUAUUAAGUUGACAACUUAAGUUUCCUUAUUUGUAGUUCACAUAACUUUCGAUUCGGUUAACCAUUUUUUAUUCCAUUUUCACCAGAAUGCUCACUGCUUCACAACCUAUCAUUUGACAUAAUUUUAAACAAAGUGACCAAUGUUUUCUUCCUCCCCUUCACUUUGGCUGAAACUUACUAUAACAUUAUCUAGCUAUUUUUAUUUCAUUUUUACACUUCUAACAAGUUAGAAACCAUCUCCUAAUCAUUUUCCACCAAAAAAACAUACAUAUUUCACUUAAUUUUAUAAGUUUCUAUCAAUAACCUUUAAGUGCAACUUUUAAUACACUUGAUAAAAUAAAACUAUUUGUACAUAUAUGUAAAACAAGCUUCAAAGAUUCAAAACCUAUGAAAAGUUAGAAGAAAAACUGUAACACCCUAAAUUUUUGGGGUUAGAAGUUUUAAGUUUAGUGGUUAGGGUCAGAGAGUAGGUUGUGCUAUUGUGUUUACUCGCGUGUUUAAGUGUUAGAAUGGGCCUGCUGAUAUGGUGGUUGAGUGAGUGUUAGUGAACCUUUGGGUUUUGCGUUCGAGUCUUGUGUGUGUAUUUUGGAGAAACAUUUUAUUUUGUUUUGUUUUGUUAAGUAGCAGGUUUGUUUUAAGUUAAUUUAUAAAACUAUUAUUAUUACUUUUUAGUUAUUUUUAUUAUUUUUGUUGGGUUUCUGGAUGUUCUUCAUUUUCUUUUCUUUUGCUUCUUCUUUAUUUUCCUUUGAAAAAGGAUCUUACAUGUGGAUUUUCAAAGAGGUUUUGAUUUCCUGGUCGUCGAGUCGAGUUUUGGACGUUUCUGAUCGCGAAUCAGGUGUGGGAAUGGAAACUCUUUUAUUUUUAUUUGCAAAAUUGUUGAUUUGUUAUGGAAUUCGAUGAUCUUUUUGUGAGUUUGGUAGUUGGGCAAGUUAGGCUCGUGUUGUUUGUAAUUUUCUGAAAUGUAGUGCGUUAUGGUUGGUUUUUGAAGUGACAUAUGAUCGUAAAACUUGAUUUUCAGGCUGAUUGUGUGUGCUUUUGUGGCCACACGGGUGUGUGCUAGUUCACACGGCCAUGGAAUUAGGGUUUUCGUGAAAAAUUUGAUGCCAUACGGCCGUAUGGCCGGUUUGGGGAUUUUUGUCGAUUUCCACAUGGCCGUGUCCCUUGGGUACAUGGGCGUAUGUGAUUGGGAAUUAGGGAUUCAGUGAUUUGGUGCCAUACGGCCGUGUGGCUAAUUUGGGAAUUUAGGGGUCCUACACAGGCGUGUGUUUUGGAUACACGGUCGUGUUUGGUGGGCACACGGGCGUGUGAGACCCUCAUACGCCUGUGUCUGCCCUAUACCAUAUUUUAGCACAUUUUGGACAGUGUGUUACACAGCUUGUUCACACGGCCGUGUCCCUGUUUCACAAGGGCGUGUGCCUCCCUCCACAUAGACGUUUUAACCCUCACAUGGCCUAGGUUUUUCCACAUGGCCGUGUGGCUCUAAGUCACUUAUUUUGGUUUUGUGUGUGUUUUUUAUCUGAGAAUGUGUCUGUGUGUUUCAGCUUUGGUUGAUCUUUAGACAGGGUGGCUAAGAAUUCUAUUCUGGGCUUCGGCUUAUGUGUUUUCUGUGAUUUUUAUGUGAGAUGUUUGAUUCUGAAUCUAAUCUGUUAGGUGUGUGUGCAUAUCUGCUUCUGUCUGAUUGUCGAUUGUCGUGUUUAUUGUUUCUGUGGGAUCGAAUGCAUUCAUGCACUUGCAUAAAGUAUUUUAGAUUGGUUGUGAAGAGAAGGAAGACUGAUUCUAUUCUGAUCUGUCAUUUUAACUGCAAGCUUAUUUGUACAGCAGUUUUCCGUAUUGUACCGCAGUACAUCAGCUUUACUGCGUACCAUUAUCUGAACUGGUAGUUUAAACUACAUCAUGACUGUACAGCUGAUUACCGUAUUGCACUGUAUUGCAUAUACGUCAUCUCUGUUGCGUAUUGAUACCUAAGUGGCUUAGUCCACAAACAUGGUGUGUAGGGUUGGAUGGGCCUUUUGAGGUCCCAUGUGGUGUGUUUCAGUUGGAUGAGCUUAAUAAGCUUUUAUGGGGUGUAACCGAGGGACGGAGAGGUGUGUUGGCUGGAUGGGUGGGUUUUAUUACUUGACUGUAUUUCAUAUGCAUCUGUUUGAAAGUUUUGGGUGCAAGACCAUCUAACUGUAAUCUGUUGACUGUGAGUGACUUGGUAUGUUUGAGUUGUUAUGUUUUGUUGGGACAUUAGUUCCAAGUUUACUUUUUGUCUCUGUGAAUAUCUGUAAGUCUGUUGCGUUAUUGAAUUAAAUUCCAUAAUUUUGUUCUUAGCCUCGAUUCAAACUCACAUUGAGUUCACGUAGCUCACCCCCUUAGUGUUUCCCCUUGCAGGUACGUUUCUGAAACUCUGACACUGGACUCGGUGAGCAGGGGUCUUGGAUAGUCUCAGUUGAAAAUAAUUUAUCAGUUGUCUUUUCAGUUUUCAUUUUGAUUUACUGUUUAGAUAAGUAGGGAUUUAUAAAAACU